UUAAGAGGAUAACUUUCCCAGGGUUACCUUCCUUAUCAGGUCAAACAUGUCUGUUCUAGAAAUGACCUAUGAGGAGGGAGAGCUGUGGUUUGCUUGCAUUUGACAGAUUCUUUUUAUUGCCACUUGGCAAAGAUGAGAACAGGCUUAUCCAGUUUCAUCGGAAAUGUUUUGCUUUCCAUUCAGCAGCAAAGAUAGUAAGAGAACCAGGGAGUUCAUAGGCAGUCCUUAAUCAGAGAAGUCUCCUUAAUGCUAGAGUCGCUGGCAGGUGCGCACCUUGUGAGGAUCCACAGAAGUUCCUGCUGGUAAGAAGAGUGGUCUCCUGUGGGCUGUGCAGAGUCCUUGAAGUGAGACAAGUAGAAAAAUGGUUGCAUGUUGAUCCUCCUGAUGAGAACUGAGAGGUCCUAUCAAGAUGUGUUGGGAGAAGACCAGUAACCCAUCUGUAGGCUGUGCUCAACUUUAUCCGCUGGUGCAAUGGAAAAACUCUUAAUUGAAGAGACCUACACAUUCUCUGAUGGUGGCAGACAGAGAAACCCUGGAAGAACCUGGCUUCUCAUCUGAGCUCUGCCGCACGGGAUUACGUGUGGUUCCCUACAUCUUCCCGCUUUCAUUGAUCAUGGGGACAAGAGAAAAGCAGAACCACACAGAAGCUAAAGUCCUUUAAGACUCAAGUUCCUACAAUUUCAUGGCAAGACCCACUGGCAGGCUUUUUCUCUGAUCCCAGAAAGUUUUCUCCUUGAUGUUCUCAGGCUUUGCGGAGGGCAGUUCCUGUGCUCUGGCACGUCUGAGAUGAAAGAUUAUUUCCUACGUCUGAAGUUCUCAGGAAACAGGAAAUGAGUACAGAACAAGGGGGAGGGACGUGAGUGCAAGGAGUAAUACUGGGAGAAAGUAGAGGUCCAAAGACCAGCCAGCUGUUAGACUGCAGAACCAGCCAGCGCCACCCGGGGAGCUAUUAUCAGCGCUUGGCUCCAUCCCAGUCAAUUGAAUUAGAAUUUUCCAGAGUAGGCCUGACACUAAGUAAAUAAGGACAAAAAUAAUUAAAUCGCCUAGGUAUUCCCGUUGCACAGCCAGUAUUGAGAUCCCCAGAACAAGAUGGCAGUGGGAGACAUUUGAGGAAAUGAAGGAACUAAAUCAAUUCAGAAAUAGCAUUAUGUAAAUAAGAUGCUUUCAAAAGCUAUAAAAAUUAGCAAUGUUAACUACUCCUGGCUUACAAAGAAACCAAAACCACUCCUUCACUGAAUCUACUGGAAAGCCAGGCUUUCAAAUCACUGGGCUGGAAAUCACUGUGCAGUACUUUAAUAUCUGAUCUUUAUCAGAUUUCAGACAUAGGUCAUUGGGAAAUCUGUUUUGAGAGUUAUUUCUUUAGUCUGUCUCAAUAAAUGGGAAAAGGCUGAACUCUGAUACAGCUGUUCUGGAGAAAUACUUCCCAUAAAGCUUUUACAUUUUAAUUAAGCUAUGGAUCCCUAUGAACAAUUUCAAACUUGUAAAAGUUUGCACACAUACUUGGAUAGUGAAAUGCCUGCUUACCUUUUCUUGUAUACAAUUCAUUUGCAUAUGCUUUAGUAAGGCUGGGAAUAUCUCUUCUCAAUGUUGAAAGAAUUAGAGGCCUUCGUUACAUUGUAAAUCAAUAGAGUGGGUAAGAAGUCUACAUCCCAGAUUAUCAAGUGAGACAAAGAAUUGGAAUACUCUUGGAGAAUCAAUUUUUUUUUCACCCUAUACAAAAUCGACUAUUUCAUGUCAUAGCUGUUAUUGCAACGGUCACAUGACUCUGUUUUCAUUUUUCAAAUCACUCUAAAGCUGACUUGCACUCUGCUGUUAAGAUGGGGAAUUUGGGAAGCUGGGGGCACAGAGAAAACCGGCCUGAUGCAUUGCUGCCCUGAGGAGCUAAAGGCCACAUUUUCAAAACUGAUGUUUGCACUUCCUGUGAUUGACCCAAGAAAGUCCAAACAGCAACAUAUUAUACUUUAUCUGUGUUCUGACAAAUAAAGCUUGCCUGGAGAUCGGAGGGCAGAGGUAGCCACUAGUCAGCCAUAGAAGCUGGGCCUUUAUCCCAGCACUUGGAAGCAGAAAGCAAGAAGAUCCGGAGUUCUAGGGCACCACAGGCUACAAAAGAUUGAAACAGUCUAAAAGGGGAUGGAGCCAGGCGGUGGUGGCUCAUGCCUUUGAUCCUAGCACUUGAGGGGCUCACCCCUUUAUUUCCAGCACAAUCAUAAGUAGAGAUAGGAUCCUUCCCAUUCAGUCUGAGAUUUUACAGAGAUAAGAAGCCUAGUGGCUGCUGCUCU
Non-coding RNA from Myodes glareolus (Bank vole), 2279 nucleotides. The record is from RefSeq and is a predicted model, not a curated record. NCBI's taxonomy places the organism in Eukaryota, Metazoa, Chordata, Mammalia, Rodentia, Cricetidae.